CCUACGGGAGGCAGCAGUGGGGAAUUUUGGACAAUGGGCGAAAGCCUGAUCCAGCAAUGCCGCGUGCAGGAAGAAGGCCUUCGGGUUGUAAACUGCUUUUGUACGGAACGAAACGGUUCGCUUUAAUACAGUGGGCUAAUGACGGUACCGUAAGAAUAAGCACCGGCUAACUACGUGCCAGCAGCCGCGGUAAUACGUAGGGUGCGAGCGUUAAUCGGAAUUACUGGGCGUAAAGCGUGCGCAGGCGGUUAUAUAAGACAGUUGUGAAAUCCCCGGGCUCAACCUGGGAAUUGCAUCUGUGACUGUAUAGCUAGAGUACGGUAGAGGGGGAUGGAAUUCCGCGUGUAGCAGUGAAAUGCGUAGAUAUGCGGAGGAACACCGAUGGCGAAGGCAAUCCCCUGGACCUGUACUGACGCUCAUGCACGAAAGCGUGGGGAGCAAACAGGAUUAGAUACCCUGGUAGUCCACGCCCUAAACGAUGUCAACUGGUUGUUGGGUGCAUUAGUACUCAGUAACGAAGCUAACGCGUGAAGUUGACCGCCUGGGGAUACGGCCGCAAAGGUUGAAACUUAAUGAAAUUGGAGCGNGAGAGUGACGACGGACGACGACGAGGGAGGAGG
Molecule: ribosomal RNA, 620 nt
Filed under: uncultured bacterium
Lineage: Bacteria
Description: bacterial SSU rRNA
Rfam family: Bacterial small subunit ribosomal RNA
Source: RNAcentral